UACAGAGGUGGCAAGCGUUGUUCGGAAUUACUGGGCGUAAAGGGCGCGUAGGUGGCCUUUUGAGUCAGACGUGAAAUCCCCCGGCUUAACCUGGGAACUGCGUCUGAUACUGGAAGGCUUGAGUUCGGCAGAGGGGGGUGGAAUUCCACGUGUAGCAGUGAAAUGCGUAGAGAUGUGGAGGAACACCGAUGGCGAAGGCAGCCCCCUGGGUUAACACUGACGCUCAGGCACGAAAGCGUGGGGAGCAAACAGG
RNAcentral lists this ribosomal RNA (253 nucleotides) under uncultured bacterium. RNAcentral's name for it is "partial 16S ribosomal RNA". It matches the Rfam family "Bacterial small subunit ribosomal RNA", at positions 524 to 776 of the family's 1533-position model. The record is from RNAcentral.